GUCAAAUAUAUUAAAGUUUAUGAUGGAUACCUAGGCAUUUAGAGUCGAUGAAGGGCGUGGAUACCUACGAAAUGCUUCGGUUAGUUGGAAACAAACUUUGAUCCGAAGAUUCCCGAAUAGGAAAACCUAUAUAACUACUUAGUAAAUUCAUAAUUAAGUAAGAGACAACCUGCUGAAUUGAAACAUCUUAGUAAGCAGAGGAAAAGAAAGCAAACGCGAUUUCCUUAGUAGCGGCGAGCGAAACGGAAAUAGUCUAAUCAUUAAAAAAAAACUAUUAAACGAAGCAGCUGAAUCCUGCACCAUAGAUGGUGAAAGUCCAGUAGUUUAAAAUAGAAAAAAUGAUUAUAAAGUAGCAUGGAACACGUGAAAUUCCGUGUGAAUAUACGAGGACCACCUCGUAAGACUAAAUACUCCUAAAUGACCGAUAGUGAAACAGUACCGUGAGGGAAAGGUGAAAAAGAACCCCUGUAGGGGAGUGAAAAAGAACAUGAAAUCGUAAACUGACAAUCAGUGGGAGCUAAAGUGACCGCGUGCCUGUUGAAGAAUGAGCCGGCGACUUAUAGGUAGUGGCUUGGUUAAAAUAACUUUUUGGAGCCAAAGCGAAAGCAAGUCUGAUAAGGGCGUAUGUCACUAUUUAUAGACCCGAACCCGAGUGAUCUAACCAUGGCCAGGAUGAAUCUUGGGUAACACCAAGUGGAAGACCGAACCGACUGAUGUUGAAAAAUCAGCGGAUGAGCUGUGGUUAGGGGUGAAAUUCCAGUCGAACUCGGAGCUAGCUGGAUCUCCUCGAAAUGUGUUGAGGCGCAGCGGUUGAUGAUGGGCUAUUUAGGGGUAAAGCACUGUUUCGGUGCGGGCUGCGAAAGCGGUACCAAAUCGUGGCAAACUAAGAAUACUAAAUAUGCUUUCCAUCAACCAGUAAGACAGUGGGGGAUAAGCUUCAUUGUCAAAAGGGAAACAGCCCAGAUCACCAGUUAAGGCCCCAAAGUGAUGGCUAAGUGAUAAAGGAAGUAAAAAGGCAAAGACAACCAGAAGGUUUGCUUAGAAGCAGCCAUCCUUGAAAGAGUGCGUAAUAGCUCACUGGUAGAGCCUUUUUGCGCCGAAAAUGAACGGGGCUAAGUCAUCCGCCGAAACUGUGGGUACAGUUUUAACUGUUACGGUAGAGGAGCGUUCCGUUAUAGGGUGAAGUUAAGAUGUGAAUUUUAAUGGACGAAACGGAAGUGAGAAUGUCGGCUUGAGUAACGAAAACAUUGGUGAGAAUCCAAUGCCCCGAAAACCUAAGGGUUCCUUCACAAGGUUCGUCCAUGGAGGGUUAGUCAGGACCUAAGGCGAGAUCGAAAGGUGUAGUCGAUGGAAAACAGGUUAAUAUUCCUGUACUUGAUUUUAUUUGAUAAAGAGGGACGAAGAAGGCGGUAACUAGCUAGAUAUUGGUAUUCUAGUAGAAGUAUUGGAUUCUUAAAAGAAUGAAAAAAAACUUUCUUUAGAAAACAUGCGAUCUAACUGGUACUCUAUUCUAUAGAGUUCUGGUUUAGUUUUAGUCAUACUUCCAAGAAAAGCUUUUGUUAUCGUUAAAUUAAAUCAACCUGUACCCUAAACUGACACAAGUAGGUAGGUAGAGAAUACUAAGGGGCGCGAGAUAACUCUCUCUAAGGAACUCGGCAAAAUGGCCCCGUAACUUCGGGAGAAGGGGUGCCUACAUUAUGUAGGCCGCAGUGACCAGGCCCAGGCGACUGUUUAUCAAAAACACAGGUCUCCGCAAAGUCGUAAGACAAUGUAUGGGGGCUGACGUCUGCCCAGUGCCGGAAGGUAAAAGAAGUUGGUUAUUCUUCGGAAAAAGCUGACGACUGAAGCCCCGGUGAACGGCGGCUGUAACUCUGACAGUCCUAAGGUAGCGAAAUUCCUUGUCGAGUAAGUUUCGACCCGCACGAAAGACGUAACGAUCUGGGCACUGUCUCGGAGAGAGACUCGGUGAAAUAGAAAUGUCUGUGAAGAUGCGGACUACUUAUACCAGGACAGAAAGACCCUAUGAAGCUUGACUGUAAUUUGGAAUUGGGUUCGGGCUUUUUUUGCGCAGUCUAGGUGGGAGGCGUUGAUAUUAAGUUUUCGGACUUAAUGGAGCCAUCAGUGAGAGACCACUCUAAAAGAGCUAGAAUUCUAAUAGGACUCCUUGAAUCAGGAUCCUUGACAGUUUCAGAUGGACAGUUUGACUGGGGCGGUGACCUCCCAAAAGGUAACGGAGGUGUGCAAAGGUUCCCUCAAGCUGGACGGAAAUCAGCUGUAGAGUGCAAAGGUAUAAGGGAGCUUGACUGCAAGACCAACAAGUCGAGCAGAGGCGAAAGCCGGCCUUAGUGAUCCGACGGUUCCGAGUGGAAGGGCCGUCGCUCAACGGAUAAAAGUUACUCUAGGGAUAACAGGCUGAUCUCCCCCAAGAGUUCACAUCGACGGGGAGGUUUGGCACCUCGAUGUCGUUUCAUCGCAACCUGGGGCUGGAGUAGGUCCCAAGGGUUGGGCUGUUCGCCCAUAAAAGCGGUACGUGAGAUGGGUUCAGAACGUCGCGAGACAGUUCGGUCCAUAUCCGGUAUAAGCGUAAGAGCAUUGAGAGGAUCUCAACAUUGUACGAGAGGACCCGAAGGGACGUACCGAUGGUGUACCAGUUCUUAUGCCAAUAGGAAACGCUGGGUAGCUAUGUACGGAGUGGAUAAUCGCUGAAAGCAUUUAAGUGAGAAGCCCACCUCAAGAUGAAUGCUCUCUAUCAGAUCGCGGCAAGACAAGCCGAUAGAUUGGCAUCAAGUGUAAGAUUAGUAAUAAUUUCAGCUGAGAUGUACAAAGGAUCGAUUGAUUUUGAC
This 2843-nucleotide ribosomal RNA is filed under the name Ulva flexuosa. Its description in RNAcentral is "bacterial LSU rRNA". It matches the Rfam family "Bacterial large subunit ribosomal RNA". Lineage: Eukaryota; Viridiplantae; Chlorophyta; Ulvophyceae; Ulvales; Ulvaceae. The record is from RNAcentral.